UAGGGAAUCUUCCACAAUGGACGCAAGUCUGAUGGAGCAACGCCGCGUGAGUGAAGAAGGUUUUCGGAUCGUAAAGCUCUGUUGUUGGUGAAGAAGGAUAGAGGCAGUAACUGGUCUUUAUUUGACGGUAAUCAACCAGAAAGUCACGGAUAACUACGUGCCAGCAGCCGCGGUAAUACGUAGGUGGCAAGCGUUGUCCGGAUUUAUUGGGCGUAAAGCGAGCGCAGGCGGAAUGAUAAGUCUGAUGUGAAAGCCCACGGCUCAACCGUGGAACUGCAUCGGAAACUGUCAUUCUUGAGUGCAGAAGAGGAGAGUGGAAUUCCAUGUGUAGCGGUGGAAUGCGUAGAUAUAUGGAAGAACACCAGUGGCGAAGGCGGCUCUCUGGUCUGCAACUGACGCUGAGGCUCGAAAGCAUGGGUAGCGAACAGG
RNAcentral lists this ribosomal RNA (429 nucleotides) under bacterium. Its description in RNAcentral is "partial 16S ribosomal RNA". It matches the Rfam family "Bacterial small subunit ribosomal RNA", at positions 355 to 776 of the family's 1533-position model. The record is from RNAcentral.